GAAGAAUUUGUAUGUUGUUAUUAAAUUUUUAUUUUGUUUUAUUUAUAUCGGACCACUUAGGGAAGACUUGAAUGGCCGUUGGCCAUAUUCCAUGUGUCCCAUGGAGAAAAGUAGGACGACUAGAAAACAAAAUGAAUUGAAUAAAAUAAAGUAGAGUAGGGCCCCAACAAGGUUUUCAGCGUGCAUGUAUAUUAAAAUACAUUAAUUUCCGAUUAAUGUCAUCUGCCCCACCUAAAUAAUGCAUGCAAUGUAAUAUUUCAGUACGAAUUUUCCUUUUUUUUGGAACAGAUGAUCAUGAUCACAAUGUUAAACAUAUGAUAUCUGAAUCAGCUGAGAUAUGUUUGAGACGGAUAUGGGGGUUCUUAUCUACCAGGUGGUGAAUGAUUCUGUCGGAAAAGUCCACUAUUAUAUGUAUGACGUUUGUUUUUCUUUUGUUUGAUUUUUUUUUUGUUUUUUUUUUUUUUGGUUUUUUUAUUUAUGUAAAUUGUGCUGACAGAUAUAUGUAAUAAUUUGCAGCAACCCGACAGUAUAUAUGUGGAGUUGAGACUUUUUAUUUUGCUUUUUAUUUUUUAUCUUUUAACUGCUGGAUAGGGUAAUUAAUGAUGAUAAAUAUGUUUGAGGUCAUUCUGCUUCUGGUUUUUGUUUUCAGAUAAGAGCUUUUCUAGAAUUAAAUAUAUGUAUGUGCUAGUUGUUAACAUUAUUUUUUUCAAGUAUCAUUAAUUCACGUUUGUAUCCUUCAUACCACACAGACCAUGCUUUUUUCUCCAAUUAAUUGGCUAAUCUCCUGUUUCUAUCUGUCCUUUCAAGGUUCUUCUUUUCACCAUUUAAUUUCUAGCUUUACUUAAACCCCACAAUUAAUGUAAGGUGUGGUUUUCCCAACUACCUAAUCUUGAUGCACAAUCUAGCACUAUUACUGUUCUAGUCAUCCUUACAAUUGUAUUUAUUAAAACAUGUCCUACUUAUUCAUGUAGUUUCAUUAUGCAUUUAUAGAAUAUUCUAAUUAUUAUUCUUUAUCCUUUUCCUGUGUAUAGGCUCCGUUAAAUUGUAUAUAUACAUGUUUAUUCAAUAAAUUGGUCAUUGCAAAGCCUAAUUAGUAGCAAAUUUUAUUUAUUUAUUGUUUUUUUUUGGACAACGAAAUCCAAUUGGAACCUCAUUUGAGAAAUCAUCCUAGAUUUUUAUUUCUUUCAUGGAGAAAAGACCCUUAUGCAUAACUAAGCACGUAGUAAAAUUAAGCCCUUAAAGAAUUAUAAAAAAUUAUUUAUCCAUAACUCGAUUACAAUAAUGUAUUUAGAUAUAUACUAAAUCACAGUGUGAAUAUUUGAUAAAUUUAUAUUUAUAUCUUCGAAAGGUCAUAGUUAUCCAUAACUAUGUCAGAACACGCAUAAGACUCCUAGCAGGGCCCAAGACUUGAAGAAGAAUUUGUAUGUUGUUGUUAAAAUUUUAUUUCAUUUUAUUUACAUCAGACCACUUAGGGAAGACUUGAAUGGCCAUUGGCCAUAUUCCAAUUGUCCCAUGGACAAAAGUACGACGACAAGAAAACAAAAUGAAUUGAAUAAAAUAAAGUGGAGUAAGGCCCCAACAAGGUUUUCGGCAUGCAUGUAUAUUAAAAUACAUUAAUUUUCGAUUAAUGUCAUCGGCCCCACCUAAAUAAUGGAUGCAAUUUGAUAUUUCAAUACCAAUUUUCCUUUUUUUUGGAACAGAUGAUCAUGAUCACAAUGUUAAACAUAUCAUAUCUGAAUCAGCUGAGAUAUGUUUGAGACGGAUAUGGGCGUUCUUACCUGCAAGGUGGUGAAUGAUUCUGUCGGAAAAGUCCACUAUUAUACGUAUGAUGUUUAUUUUUCUUUUGUUCGGAUUUUUAUUUUUAUUUUUUAUUUUUUUUUGGUUUUUUAUUUAUGUAAAUAGUUUUGACGGAUAUAUAUAAUAAUUUGCAGCAACCCAUCAGUUUAUAUGUGGAGGUGAGACUUUUUUUUUGUUUUUUAUAUUUUAUCAUUUAAUGGCUGGAUAGGAUAAUUAAUGAUGAUAAAUAUGUUUGAGGUCAUUUUGCUUUUGCUUUUUAUUUCAAAUAAGUGCUUGUCAAGAAGUAAAUAUAUGUAUGUGCCAGUUGUUAACAUUAUGUUUUUUCAAGUAUCAUUAAUUCACCUUUGUAUCUUUUAUACCCCAUAUACCGUGCUUUUUUCUCCAAUUAAUUGGCUAAUCUCCUUUUUCUAUCUGUCCUUACUAGGUUCUUCUUUUCACCAUUUAAUUUCCAGCUUUACGUAAACCCCACAAUUAAUGUAAGGUGUGGAUUUCCCAACAACCUAAUCUUGAUGCACAAUCUAUCACAAUUAUUGUUCUAGUCAUCCUUACAAUUGUACUUAUUAAAACAUGUCCUACUUAUUCAUGUAGUUUCAUUAUUCAUUUACAGAAUAUUCUAAUUAUUAUUCUUUAUCCUUUUGCCGUGUAUAGGCUUCGUUAAAUUGUAUAUAUACAUGUUUAUUCAAUAAAUUGGCCAUUGCAAAGACUAAUUAGUAACAAUUUUUUUUUAAAAUUUUUUUUUGGGACAUCGAAUUCCAAUUGGAACCUCAUUUGAGAAAUCAUCCUAGAUGUUUAUUUCUUUCAUGGAGAAAAGACCCUUAUGCAUAACUAAGCACAUCGUAAAAUUAAACCCAUAAGGAAUUAUAAAAAUUAAUUUAUCCAUAACUAGAUUACAAUAAUGUAUUUAGAUAUAUACUAAAUCUCAGUGUGAAUAUUUGAUAAAUUUAGAUUUAUCUCUUCAAAAAGUCAUAGUUAUCCAUAACUCUGUCAGAACAUGCAUAAGACUCCUCGCAGGGCCCAAGACUUGAAGAAGAAUUUGUAUGUUGUUGUUAAAUUUUUAUUUUAUUUUAUUUACAUCAGACCACUUCGAGAAGACUUGAAUGGCCAUUGGCCAUAUUCCAUUUGUCCGAUGAAGAAAAGCAGGUUGACUAGAAAACAAAAUGAAUUGAAUAAAAUAAAGUAAAGUAGGGCCCUAACAAGGUUUUCGGUGUGCAUGUAUAUUAAAAUACAUUAAUUUUCGAUUAAUGUCAUCUGCCCCACCUAAAUAAUGGAUGCAAUGUGAUAUUUCAAUACCAAUUUCUCUUUUUUUUAGAACAGAUGAUCAUGAUCACAAUGUUAAACAUAUGAUAUCUGAAUCAGCUGAGAUAUGUUUGAGACGGAUAUGGAGGUUCUUACUUGCAAGAUAAUCAUGAUCACAAUGUUAAACAUAUGAUAUCUGAAUCAGCUGAGAUAUGUUUGAGACGGAUAUAGAGGUUCUUACUUGCAAGGUGGUGAAUGAUUCUCUCCGAAAAGUCCACUAUUAUAUCAACCAGUCAGUUUAUAUGUGGAGGUGAGACUUUUUUUUUGUUUUUUAUUUUUUAUCUUUUAACGGCUGGAUAGGAUAAUUAAGGAUGAUAAAUAUGUUUGAGGUCUUUCUGCUUUUGCUUUUUGUUUUCAGAUAGGAGCUUUUCAAGAAGUAAAUAUAUGUAUGUGCCAAUUGUUAACAUUAUUUUUUUCAAGUAUCAUUAAUUCACCUUUGUAUCUUUCAUACCCCACAGACCAUGCUUUUUUCUCCAAUUAAUUGGCUAAUCUCCUAUUUCUAUCUGUCCUUACUAGGUUCUUCUUUUCACCAUUUAAUUUCUAGCUUUACUUAAACCCCACAAUUAAGGUAAGGUGUGGUUUUCCCAACUUCCUAAUCUUGAUGCACAAUCUUGCACUAUUACUGUUCUAGUCAUCCUUACAAUUGUACUUAUUAAAACAUGUCCUACUUAUUCAUGUAGUUUCAUUAUUCAUUUACAGAAUAUUCUAAUUGUUAUUCUUUAUCCUUUUGCCGUGUAUAGGCUUCAUUAAAUUGUAUAUAUACAUGUUUAUUCAAUAAAUUGGUCAUUGCAAGGACUAAUUAGGAGCAAAUUUUAUUUAUUUAUUUAUUUUUUUGGACAACGAAAUCCAAUUGGAACCUCAUUUGAGAAAUCAUCCUAGAUGCUUAUUUCUUUCGUGGAGAAAAGACCCUUAUGCAUAACUAAGCACGUAGUAAAAUUAAACCCUUAAAGAAUUAUAAAAAUUUAUUUAUGCAUAACUAGAUUACAAUAAUGUAUUUAGAUAUAUACUAAAUCUCAAUGUGAAUAUUUGAUAAAUUUAUAUUUAUCUCUUCAAAAAGUCAUAGUUAUCUAUAACUAUGUCAGAACAUGCAUAAGACUCCUAGCAGGGCCUAAGACUUGAAGAAGAAUUUGUAUGUUGUUAGUAAAUUUUUAUUUUAUUUUAUUUAUCUCGGACCACUUAGGGAAGACUUGAAUGGCCAUUGGCCAUAUUCCAUGUUUCCCAUGGAGAAAAGUAGGACGACGAGAAAACAAAAUGAAUUGAAUAAAAUAAAGUAGAGUAGGGCCACCAACAAGGUUUUCAGAGUGCAUGUAUAUUAAAAUACAUUAAUUUACAAUUAAUAUCAUCUGCCACACCUAAAUAAUGCAUGUUAUGUAAUAUUUCAAUGUCAAUUUUCUCUUUUUUUUUAACAGAUGAUCAUGAUCACAAUGUUAAACAUAUGAUAUCUGAAUCAGCUGAGAUAUGUUUGAGGCGGAUAUGGAGGUUCUUGCUUGCAAGGUGGUGAAUGAUUUUGUCGGAAAAGUCCACUAUUAUAUCUAUGAUGUUCGUUUUUCUUUUGUUUGGUUUUUUCUUUUUUUUUUUGUUGGUUUUUUUAUUUAUGUAAAUUGUGUUGACGGAUAUAUAUAAUAAUUUGCCGCAACCCGUCAGUUUGUACGUGGAGUUGAGACUUUUUUGUUGUUUUUUAUUUUUAUCUUUUAAUGGCUGGAUAGGAUAAUUAAUGAUGAUAAAUAUGUUUGAGGUCAUUCUGCUUUUGCUUUUUGCUUUCAGAUAAGAGCUUUUCAAGAAGUAAAUACAUGUAUGUGCCAGUUGUUAACAUUAUUUUUUUCAAAUAUCAUUAAUUCACCUUUGUGUCUUUUGUAUCCCACAGACCAUGCUUUUUUCUCCAAUUAAUUGGCAAAUCUCCUGUUUCUAUUUGUGUAAAGCUUUAAAUUUAAAUAAAUAAUAA
Long non-coding RNA from Ziziphus jujuba (common jujube), 5035 nucleotides. RefSeq lists it as uncharacterized. The record is from RefSeq and is a predicted model, not a curated record. NCBI's taxonomy places the organism in Eukaryota, Viridiplantae, Streptophyta, Magnoliopsida, Rosales, Rhamnaceae. The transcript is spliced from 3 exons.